AUUGACAAUAAAUAGGAACACGC
Molecule: non-coding RNA, 23 nt
Filed under: Drosophila melanogaster (fruit fly)
Lineage: Eukaryota; Metazoa; Arthropoda; Insecta; Diptera; Drosophilidae
Source: RNAcentral